UAUCUGUAAUAGGAGAGUGCCUUGACAAU
This 29-nucleotide non-coding RNA is filed under the name Rattus norvegicus (Norway rat). The record is from RNAcentral. Lineage: Eukaryota; Metazoa; Chordata; Mammalia; Rodentia; Muridae.